GAUUCAGCCGCUAAAGCAGGUAUGGUGCUGUACACCUUCAAUCCCAGCACCCGGGAGGCUGGCACAGGAAGGAGGAUCACAAGUUCAAGCCAAACUGGCCAAAUGAGAGAUCCUGUCUCAAAAUAAAAAUGUGGUGGCGCCCACUAGGAAAGACGGCAGCCCGCGGACACCGGGACAUACUUGCUGGGUUUGAAUCUCUUUCCGGACUCUGAGGGCAUGUUGGAGCUGUGAAGGGGAGAGCUGCCCUGCCGCAUAGCCCAGGCACACCGGCGGCAGGACAGACAAGAAACGGGGGCGAGGGGGACAGCAGGGAGGUCGCCAACCAGGGGAGGCCGGAGGCGCAGAGCCGCCACCCUCCCCUCCCGAAGAACGCGGCAGCUCAACAGGUCCUGGAAGAGGGAAGGUGCACGGGAGGGGAAAGGCGACUUCCCAGCCUGAGAAGCGGCCUCCCUGGAGCAAGGCGGCGGCAGAUCAGGAGAUGGGGCUGCAGCAGUCUGAACACGGAGCAGGGGAGGUGCAGGUGGAGCAGGUGGCGAGCAGCGCAGUCAGGCAGGCCGCAGGGCAGCUCGUGGAGGUGGGGCUUCCCAGGAAAGGAGGACGGGGUUGGGGGUCAGAGUCACCAAGAAGCUCCGAGGGGGAGCACCGGCAGUGCCCCCGAGGCUGUGCCCUGAAGGUGCGCCCCGCUGCCCUGCCUGCAGUCCUGUCCUGCGCAGCCUCCCGAGGCCACCACGCCCACACGGCUUCACCAGGCCCUGCAGUCUGGCACCGGCAGCUUAACUUUAUUUACUUCUCUCUUGACGGCCAACACUGGACAACAGCUGUUACAGGGCUGAGUUGUAAAUCCUUUCCUUUGGAGGGGGAGGGAAAACGGAGCAAACCUGACCGUCUUCAGUCUCUGCUUGUUACUCCUGACCCUGUUAAGGGCUCUGUUUCCCACAGAGUUCAUGCAAAACUAAAUGGAAACUUAAAAUCCUUGGAAGCCAUGUUCUUCCCAGUAAGCAGAAGAGGGACGAAGACACAACUUCUACUUGAUGGUACUUUCAGACUUCUGUGAAUAAAGGCAAAGCUCCAAAGAUGCCCCUGUUCCCAGGUUUCUCAAGUUCUCUGAUCUUUUGUCUUCAAGCUGGGGCUCUGCAGAUGUGGAGUUCAGCUGGGUUACAGGGCCUCACCUGGAGAAAAACAAGGAUGUUUACCAAGAAAACUUCCCGGGCAUUUCUAAACCACAGCAAUGCCCCAUCCCCACAGGC
This 1247-nucleotide long non-coding RNA is filed under the name Heterocephalus glaber (naked mole-rat). RNAcentral's name for it is "lncRNA (ENSHGLG00000032942.1)". Lineage: Eukaryota; Metazoa; Chordata; Mammalia; Rodentia; Bathyergidae. The record is from RNAcentral.